GUGGAGUUGUUGAAGCAUAAAAAAAAAAAAGAAGAGAGAGGAAUAAAAGAGGAAAAAGAAAAAAAGGGGAGAGAAAGAAAUAAAAAAUAGAGAUGGUUUAUGAGAUUAUCCAUGCACCAGGUGCAUGGAUAAAAUUUAAAUUUUGAAAAUAUCUCAUGCACCGUGAGCAUAAAUUACGAAAAGUGGGACGUUCUUGUAGAUACGAACGGGUAUUAAAAAUAGCAUAUUAGACCUUUCCCUUUCACGUAUUUACAAAAUGCUCCGCUUUAAUCAUAUAAUAUUUUAUUAUAUUGACUAAGGUGUAAUAUGAGCAAAGGGAAAGGACCAAUUCGCAAUAUUCCCACAAUCCCAUCGCAACCAUCCAUUAUCUCAUAAUCCCAUCAUAACCAUCCAAAAUCUCUCCCACAAUCN
RNAcentral lists this long non-coding RNA (411 nucleotides) under Ananas comosus (pineapple). RNAcentral describes it as "long non-coding RNA (ACOM_LNC012201)". Lineage: Eukaryota; Viridiplantae; Streptophyta; Magnoliopsida; Poales; Bromeliaceae. The record is from RNAcentral.